RNAcentral lists this ribosomal RNA (487 nucleotides) under Disconectes sp. 01 SB-2021a. RNAcentral's name for it is "partial 16S ribosomal RNA". It matches the Rfam family "Archaeal large subunit ribosomal RNA", at positions 1911 to 2666 of the family's 2987-position model. The record is from RNAcentral. Lineage: Eukaryota; Metazoa; Arthropoda; Malacostraca; Isopoda; Munnopsidae.
CUCUUUGAAAAUUAAAUCAAAGUAGUCUCUGCUCAGUGAAAUUUUAAAUAGCCGCAGUAUCUUGACUGUGCUAAGGUAGCAUAGUAAUUUGUCCUAUAAUUGAGGGCUGGAAUGAAAGAGUUGACGAGGUUUUAGCUUUCUUAAUAAAAUUAAAUAGAACUUGAUAUCUGCUUCAAAAAGAGCAGCUCUCUGAGGGGACGAUAAGACCCUAUAAAACUUUACCAAUUAUCUUUAUGUAAAAUAAAGAAUAUAUACAAGGGAAGUUGGUUGAGCUGGGGCGGUAAUUAAAAUUCUUUAACAGAAAAAACAAAAUUUUUGAAAUUUUAGAUCUUAAUAAAAGAAAUAGAACAAGUUACUUUAGGGAUAACAGCACAAUUCUUUCAUAUAGACCUUAUAGAAGGAAGAGACUUGUGACCUCGAUGUUGAAUUGAGGGGCUUUCUCCGAGCAGCAGCGGAGAACAGGAGUCUGUUCGACUUUUAUUUCCUC